GCUUGUCUCAAAGAUUAAGCCAUGCAUGUUCAAGUAUAGCAAGUGUACAGUGAAACUGCGAAUGGCUCAUUAAAUCAGUUAUAAUUUAUUUGAUAGUGAAAUUGUACAUGGAUAACCGUGGCAAUUCUAGGGCUAAUACAUGCGUCAAUGGUCGGUCGACCAGUAUUUAUUAGAUACAAAGCCAGCCGUCAGGAUCAGGUGAAUCAUGAUAACCAAACGAAUCGCAAGCGCAAGCGGCGAUGGUUCAUUCAAAUUUCUGCCCUAUCAUGGUUGAGAUUGUAAGAUAGAGGCUUACAAUGCCUACAACGGGUAACGGGGAAUUAGGGUUCGAUUCCGGAGAGGGAGCCUGAGAAACGGCUACCACAUCCAAGGAAGGCAGCAGG
RNAcentral lists this ribosomal RNA (383 nucleotides) under uncultured fungus. RNAcentral describes it as "partial small subunit ribosomal RNA". It matches the Rfam family "Eukaryotic small subunit ribosomal RNA", at positions 30 to 432 of the family's 1831-position model. Lineage: Eukaryota; Fungi. The record is from RNAcentral.